GGCCUGGUGGUGUACCGGUAACACGCCCGCUAGCAGUAUAGCGACGAUCUUGUUAAAUAGGAGUCCCUUGUUCGACUCAAAGCCCGGCCG
This is a non-coding RNA of Mycena rosella, 90 nucleotides long. Lineage: Eukaryota; Fungi; Basidiomycota; Agaricomycetes; Agaricales; Mycenaceae. The record is from the annotation of a GenBank genome assembly.